UAGAGCUCCUUAGUAGGUGUUGCCCGAGUUCAGCUUUAUUGGAUAUUCAGAGAACUCUUCAAUCAUAAGUACCUGUACAAGCCAAGAUUAUAUUACUUCUUGCAGAGGAUUUCCAUGGAUAAUGUAGAUAAAAGUUGGAUGAAUCUUUUGAGAUGGACGGAUUAGUAUAUCCGUAGAGCGGAUAAUUUCCUUGAUAAGGCAUUUGGACAAGCUUCCCAAGGAAAUGAAAUAUUAUAUCCUUGCAAAAAGUGCAUUAUUCGGUAUUGAACCGCGCUUCUACUAUUCUUAACAAUUAUUUAAUUUGUUGGUUUUUUUUUUAACUUUAUUAAAAAGUUAGACAUGAAAUUGAAUAUUUGCUAUAAAUAUUUAUAAAGGCGACAAUGUAGCAAAUAAACUUUCCUUUUUACUUUUGUUAGAAGACUUACCUUAUGGUAAAAGAAUUCAAAAAAUAAAAUAUCAUUGGUCAAUGUGUUAGAAGACUUAUCUUAUGGUAAACGAAUUCCUUUUUACUUUUGUUAAAAAAUAAAAUAUCCCAUUCUUGGAGAAACUUCCUCUACACAACAAGCUGCUAUGCAACUAAUCAAUCGUCUAUCUACUGAGAGUAACAAUCAAGGUAGGGCAAUUGAAGAAAGGGAAGAUGGAGAUAGUGAAGAUCUAGACCUUACUUAAGAAGAACUUUGAAUUGUUGUCGAUAUUCUAGGAGUCUUUUGUUAUCAACAUUUGAAACUUUAACUUUUGAAGUGUUGAACCGUACAACUUAUGUAAUUGGGUUAAAACAUUUUGCUAUUAUGGUUAUUUUUAGCU
Nicotiana tabacum (common tobacco) is the source of this 804-nucleotide non-coding RNA. NCBI's taxonomy places the organism in Eukaryota, Viridiplantae, Streptophyta, Magnoliopsida, Solanales, Solanaceae. The record is from RefSeq and is a predicted model, not a curated record.